ACUGCUCCCCCUCCAAGAGCU
Molecule: unclassified non-coding RNA, 21 nt
Filed under: Chlamydomonas reinhardtii
Lineage: Eukaryota; Viridiplantae; Chlorophyta; Chlorophyceae; Chlamydomonadales; Chlamydomonadaceae
Description: small RNA Cre_0385
Source: RNAcentral